Molecule: long non-coding RNA, 268 nt
Filed under: Physcomitrium patens
Lineage: Eukaryota; Viridiplantae; Streptophyta; Bryopsida; Funariales; Funariaceae
Description: long non-coding RNA (PPAT_LNC000782)
Source: RNAcentral
AGCCAUUCAAGCUUUGAGGUUAGGAUCAGUAAGUUUAGGUUUUUGGCUAUGGUUUUGGUACAAAUCUUGUAUGGUUUGGAUUUUAUAUGAAGGAGAUAUAGGCGCUCAAAGUUAAGGUAUUGAUUUGGAAGCUAUUAUCACUUUUUUUUGGCAUAACACAUGCAUACGGAGGGCAAUUGAGGAUCGGUGUCUGCGACUGGAGAGAAUACUUUUGUAGCUACACUUUUUGCAUAUUUUUUACUGGAUUCUAAGUUGAAAUAAAGGAGUU